GCAACCCUCAUUCAACCGAUAUCCAUAACUACAUCACAGUAAGGUUCACAUAGGAGGGGAAGGUUCAAACUCCUUCCCGAACCAAAGACUCCCUUCAUUCGUGAAGGUGUUCCACCAAGAACGACACAUGGAUGAGCUGCGUCUUCCUCCCUAAUUCGUUGGGAUUCAUGGACAGGACCUACUGUUCGACUGUAGGCUUGUUUGGCCAAAUGGAAGACUAUAUAUGGUGCGACUUCUGAGGCUUGCUAACGGCUACUACUUCUCCACCGGAUGGCCAGAGUUUAUACGUUCUAAUGGCAUCGUACAUGGUGACUACCUUACCUUCACCUUGGUAGAUGUUGGAACGUUCAAUGUUAAGCGGUAUGAUAUGGGCACCCACUGCCCCCGCAGGGAGACAUCGAUCUUGUUGAAGACGAUGACAAAGAAGGCAGCUACUCCCCCGACAUCGAUACUUCUGAUGAUUAUGAGCCAUCGGAGACGGAAUCUGAUUCAUCUAACAGAGAUGAGUACGAGGACGACACCGGUGCACUAAAUGUCAACGGCUAUCCCACUUUCGUGAUAUCACUCACCCAGAAAAACAUCAAUCGCACUCUUGAGAUUCCCCAUGGCUUUUGCAAAUGCCAUAUCCGAAUGGGACCGACUUUAAGCCCCCGUAUAUUUGUUGGCAGAAGGGGGGACAUGGGGGGUUACAUUCAACCACAACGCGUCGAAGAUAUGGGUGAAGCACGGGUGGGCUCGAUUCAAACACGAUCACAAUAUGAUGGAAGGAGUGCGAUGCCAUUUCAAGAUUGUUGAUGUAGACGAUGUCUAAUUUUAUGUGUGGUUUGAACAUGCUUAAGAGUGGUGCAAGUAUAUAUGUAGUUUUAGGCAGUAGUAAGCUUUUGAAUGAAUCUCCUAAUGUAAGCAUGGGUGCUACGUGGUGUGUGUAUUCCUAGUCGAUCAUGGCAAAUUUUCAAUUUCCCUUGUAAUGCUUGGUCAUUGGGUUGGUAUGACAUGUGUGUAAUGUUGCAUGACGUUUUGUAAGUGGUUUGUUAUGUGCACCAAAAUAUAUAUGAUAUUUGAAAUAUGUUAU
This is an RNA transcript of Salvia splendens (bonfire salvia), 1072 nucleotides long. RefSeq lists it as uncharacterized. The transcript has 3 exons. NCBI's taxonomy places the organism in Eukaryota, Viridiplantae, Streptophyta, Magnoliopsida, Lamiales, Lamiaceae. The record is from RefSeq and is a predicted model, not a curated record.